Lycium ferocissimum is the source of this 818-nucleotide long non-coding RNA. RefSeq lists it as uncharacterized. NCBI's taxonomy places the organism in Eukaryota, Viridiplantae, Streptophyta, Magnoliopsida, Solanales, Solanaceae. The record is from RefSeq and is a predicted model, not a curated record. The transcript is spliced from 3 exons.
UUUUUUUUUUUUUAUUUUUUAUUUUUUUAUAAUGCAAGUGAGAGUUGAAAUUUUGCAAGGCCUGGGAAUAGUUGGAGGGGUAUAGGUCUUAAGACAAAGGAAUUGUUUUUCCCUUGUUUAGCUUUAGGAAAUUAAUGUGAGAAAGAGAUCCAUAUGCCCAGGCAAGUGUCAAAAAUUUUAGCUCAUGAAAGCAAAAGUCCCUCUUGGCUUAAAUCACAGUUCCACGCCCUUCUUCCCUCACUACACCACUCAUCACGCAAGCCAUCAACCAGGUAACACUAAUCUUCUCCUUUCCUCUUAUCAUCAGUUCUCUAUUUCUCUCGUCUGCUCUUCCCUCGGUCUCUCUCUCUCCCUAUUUUUCUCUCUACGUGCCGAUUUUCUUUUUCCCUUUUCUUCUUCAUCUUUGUUUUCUGUUUCUGUGAUUCUGUUUGUGUGAAUCUUAGAUCACAAAGUGUGAAACUUUGGUGUUGUUGUUGGAUUGAGAUGAAGAUAUGAUUGUUGAAUUAUAAAUCCCACUUUUUGGGAGGGUAAUUCAAUACUCUCAUUGGUAGAAAGAGUUUGUCUAAUGUUAUGCAUACAACGUAUUCGACAAAUUGUGUGAGAGAGAAAUUACAUGGUCUCUGAAGUUCUUUCGCAUGAUUUCAAAGUUCUGGAUCAUAAAUAUAUUCUAAAUGUUCUUUCACUGAAUUUUGAUUCAAUAUGGUUAGAAUUGUUCACUUUGGAUUCUAGGGUUGCAUUCUCUUUGGAACUUGGUUUAAAAUAAAUUGAUGAAAACGGUGUUCACUGUUUCGAAUUAAAUGGACUAUGAAACUCCCAUA